UACAAUAUUUUAAAGACUCCAUUACAUUGUCAUUACAUGUUUACAGUACUUACUGUACGAACAUUUCGAACUCCAACAGUCUGCUCCCGAGGAGUAAAUUAUUAAUAUUAUUUUUAAACUAUAGACUAUAGUAAUAAAAUAAUAACAUAUUAUUUAUUGUAAAUUUUAUGUGUUCCUGUGAGAAAUGUAGUGUAAUGCCAACAACUGAGGAGUGUUUAUGCUGUAUGGAAAUUAUGAAAAUUAAAGAUAAUUCAUUGAAGAUGCCCCAGCUAUUGUUGAUGGAAAUAUGAAAUGCAUUACACAGCAUCCUGGAUUUAGAUCUAUCUGCCUUGACAUAUGGGCAUUACAACUGGCCUAUGAUGAAAUUCCAAAGAAAGGCAAGAGAGAAGGGACCACACAUUAAAAAUAUCGACAUACAAGUUACAGAAAUUUUGUAAAAUGGAUAUGGGGAUACAGAGGAAAACAUCAGCGUACUGUAAUACCUGCAUGUGCCAUUAUCAAAAUUCGCAGCAAAUUUUAAUCAAAAAAAUAUGUUAAUUCAAGUAUCCACCUUUAUAAUUUCUGUCUCAUCAAUGCCAGUUUUAAUUCACAUUUUUGUCCAGGCAAAUAUAUUUACAUUCAGGAUACACUGUAAUACAUUUAAAUUUCCAUCAAAGCUUUUAAAAAUUCCCAUGGAGCAUAAGCACUCUUUAUAUGAUGUAGUUAUGCUACAUUUCUCGCAGAAAAUCUUAAAAAUACUACUAGGUUGUGUCAUUACAUACUGACUUAUUGUCAAUGUAACUGACAAAGCAAACUAUAUUGGAAGUACAUGUGUACAAUAAAAAAUAAACUACAUUAUUUAAACUUU
Long non-coding RNA from Anneissia japonica, 847 nucleotides. RefSeq lists it as uncharacterized. The transcript is spliced from 2 exons. The record is from RefSeq and is a predicted model, not a curated record. Lineage: Eukaryota; Metazoa; Echinodermata; Crinoidea; Comatulida; Comatulidae.